CUUUAAGGGUCCUGAAGGAACGUUGAAGACGACGACGUUGAUAGGCCGGGUGUGUAAGCGCAGCGAUACGUUGAGCUAACCGGUACUAAUGAACCGUGAGGCUUAACCUUACAACGCCGAAGGUGUUU
This 128-nucleotide ribosomal RNA is filed under the name Escherichia coli. RNAcentral describes it as "partial 23S ribosomal RNA". The stretch from base 1 to 110 matches the Rfam family "Bacterial large subunit ribosomal RNA", at positions 2811 to 2925 of the family's 2925-position model. The record is from RNAcentral. Lineage: Bacteria; Pseudomonadati; Pseudomonadota; Gammaproteobacteria; Enterobacterales; Enterobacteriaceae.